AUUUGGGUCAAUGAGAUAUGCCACAAACUCCUCAAAUUUCACAUCAUCACCUUUACGCAGAGCCUCCUGGGUGGCAUUUUUCCUUUGGCGCCUCACGAUUUUGGUACCGUAUCUCUUGUGAAAGGAGGCAGAUGUAUUAAUCCAUGACUGGCCUGCAGAAAAUUACUGCUUAUUGCUAGAAAGACCAUCCUAGCUACUGCAGGACAAGAAAAAAACCCAGCGUUGCAAAAAGUUACAGAACUAGGCAGGAGCCUGUUGUUCUAAUCCUAGCCCUCCUAACCCACUGGGUGACUUGGGCAAGUCACUUCACUUCUCUGCACCUGUUUCCUCUCCUACCGUUUGUAGUAUCUGUGUAGAUUUUCAGAUGUCAGCCAGAGACCGUCCCUGGCCCCUGCCCUAUGCGUCCGAACAGUGCCUAGCAUAAUAGGUCUCUGAUCUUCAUUGUGGCCACCACAA
Molecule: long non-coding RNA, 456 nt
Organism: Mauremys reevesii (Reeves's turtle)
Lineage: Eukaryota; Metazoa; Chordata; Testudines; Geoemydidae
Exons: 3
Source: RefSeq, a predicted model, not a curated record